Molecule: ribosomal RNA, 253 nt
Filed under: uncultured bacterium
Lineage: Bacteria
Description: partial 16S ribosomal RNA
Rfam family: Bacterial small subunit ribosomal RNA
Source: RNAcentral
UACGGAGGGGGCUAGCGUUGUUCGGAUUUACUGGGCGUAAAGCGCACGUAGGCGGAUUGUUAAGUGAGAGGUGAAAUCCCGGAGCUCAACUCCGGAACUGCCUUUCAUACUGGCAAUCUAGAGUCCGGAAGAGGUGAGUGGAACUCCUAGUGUAGAGGUGGAAUUCGUAGAUAUUAGGAAGAACACCAGUGGCGAAGGCGGCUCACUGGUCCGGUACUGACGCUGAGGUGCGAAAGCGUGGGGAGCAAACAGG